UACGAAGGGGGCUAGCGUUGCUCGGAAUCACUGGGCGUAAAGGGUGCGUAGGCGGGUUUUUAAGUCAGAGGUGAAAUCCUGGAGCUCAACUCCAGAACUGCCUUUGAUACUGAAAGUCUUGAGUAUGGGAGAGGUGAGUGGAACUGCGAGUGUAGAGGUGAAAUUCGUAGAUAUUCGCAAGAACACCAGUGGCGAAGGCGGCUCACUGGCCCGGAACUGACGCUGAGGUGCGAAAGCGUGGGGAGCAAACAGG
RNAcentral lists this ribosomal RNA (253 nucleotides) under uncultured bacterium. RNAcentral's name for it is "partial 16S ribosomal RNA". It matches the Rfam family "Bacterial small subunit ribosomal RNA", at positions 524 to 776 of the family's 1533-position model. The record is from RNAcentral.